Molecule: ribosomal RNA, 450 nt
Filed under: uncultured bacterium
Lineage: Bacteria
Description: bacterial SSU rRNA
Rfam family: Bacterial small subunit ribosomal RNA
Source: RNAcentral
GUGGGGAAUAUUGGACAAUGGGCGAAAGCCUGAUCCAGCCAUGCCGCGUGUGUGAAGAAGGUCUUCGGAUUGUAAAGCACUUUAAGUUGGGAGGAAGGGCAGUAAGUUAAUACCUUGCUGUUUUGACGUUACCGACAGAAUAAGCACCGGCUAACUUCGUGCCAGCAGCCGCGGUAAUACGAAGGGUGCAAGCGUUAAUCGGAAUUACUGGGCGUAAAGCGCGCGUAGGUGGUUUUGUAAGUUGGAGGUGAAAUCCCCGGGCUCAACCUGGGAACUGCCUCCAAAACUGCAUGACUAGAGUACGGUAGAGGGUAGUGGAAUUUCCUGUGUAGCGGUGAAAUGCGUAGAUAUAGGAAGGGACACCAGUGGCGAAGGCGACUACCUGGACUGAUACUGACACUGAGGUGCGAAAGCGUGGGGAGCAAACAGGAUUAGAAACCCCUGUAGUCC